RNAcentral lists this unclassified non-coding RNA (1644 nucleotides) under Hevea brasiliensis (rubber tree). Lineage: Eukaryota; Viridiplantae; Streptophyta; Magnoliopsida; Malpighiales; Euphorbiaceae. The record is from RNAcentral.
GUAACGCCGUGGUGGGAUCGGUGGUGAAACAAAAAGGCAUAUCAGUGUAGACAUGAGGAGUUAACAACCAUUACACAAGAAUUUCACUCAUUUUCCUCCUCCAAUUGCUACUGUCAAUUCAAAAAAGCUUAGCUUGAGGGAACAGAAAUGGUGUCGUACAUGAGCUUGUUGCUGUACGGAGUGGGAGGAAUAGUGGUCGCCGGGAUGGCAAUACUGGUCGCCUUUCAGGAAAAACUUGUAUAUGUUCCCGUCUUACCUGGACUCACUAAGGCAUAUCCAAUUACUCCCGCUCGACUUCGACUCCUUUACGAAGAUGUUUGGCUCAGAUCUUCAGACGGUGUUCGUCUUCAUGCUUGGUUCAUCAAACUCUUCCCUGACUGCAGAGGUCCUACUAUCAUCUUUUUUCAAGAGAAUGCAGGAAAUAUUGCACAUCGUCUUGAAAUGGUUCGCAUAAUGUUACAACGUUUGCAAUGCAAUGUUUUUAUGCUUUCUUAUCGAGGUUACGGAGCCAGUGAUGGAUACCCUUCUCAACAUGGAAUCACAAAGGAUGCUCAGGCUGCACUGGAUCAUUUAGUUCAGAGGACCGAUAUUGACACAUCAAGAAUAGUAGUCUUUGGAAGGUCACUUGGAGGAGCUGUUGGCACUGUUCUUACCAAAAACAAUCCUGACAAGGUAGCUGGGCUCAUUUUGGAGAAUACUUUCACCUCUAUCCUGGAUAUGGCAGGAGUUCUCUUGCCAUUCUUGAAGUGGGUCAUUGGUGGCAGUGGCUCAAAGGGUUUCAAGCUUCUUAACUUUGUUGUUCGAUCUCCAUGGAAUACCAUUGAUGUCAUUGGUGAGAUCAGGCAACCAAUCCUCUUCCUAUCUGGAUUACAAGAUGAGAUGGUUCCACCAUUCCACAUGCAGAUGCUGUAUGCAAAGGCAGCGGCACGUAACAGGCAAUGCUUAUUUGUGGAAUUUCCUAGUGGGAUGCACAUGGAUACCUGGUUGGCAGGUGGUGAUCAUUAUUGGAGGACAAUUCAGAAAUAUUUGGAAGAAACUGUCCCAGAGAAGAAGGAUGAUGAAUCAAAGAAGGAUUCCGAACUGUCCUCUAAGCAAAAUGUAUCUUCAGAUUUCGCUGCAAGCUGAAAUGUUGAGUUUCAGGCAGUUCAAAUGUAACUUUGGAUUCGAGGAUUCAAAUACAUUUCUUUUGAUGUUGCAGUGAUGAAGAGCAGUUUGUGAUAUCAAGGGAAUGGAAGUGCAUCCUUUCAAAUAUUUAUUCUUCUGAUGAUAUUUUUUGGUGUCCUAUUUUCAGAAGGUAAAAAGAUGUGAAGGGUCUUGAUUUAUACUGCAUCUCACUAACAAUACUAGGGUGUCGAAAUAUAGGUCCAGCUGAGUUGUUUUGUAUGAAUAAGGAUCCAAACGUAAAAUGGCAACUCUCUACUAGAGAGUGAUAACAGGCGGAAGACAUUCUUUCGUGUGAAUGGCUUACUCUUUAUUUUGGUGUGAUGCUUUUUCUUCCAAAGGGAGUUAUAAUUUGUGAACUUCCAAUCUAUGUAUUCAAAAACUUUCCUAAGUUAUUACGUACACACCAGGAUUUUCAGCUGAAGGACUUGUUCGUAUUCAAAUUUCAACUAUAACUUGCAUAAUAUACCAUUUGAGGAAAAC